UACGGGGGGGGCAAGCGUUGUUCGGAAUUACUGGGCGUAAAGGGUUCGUAGGCGGCCAACUAAGUCGGACGUGAAAUCCCUCAGCUUAACUGGGGAACUGCGUCCGAUACUGGAUGGCUUGGAUUCGGGAGAGGGAUGCGGAAUUCCAGGUGUAGCGGUGAAAUGCGUAGAUAUCUGGAGGAACACCGGUGGCGAAGGCGGCAUCCUGGACCGAUAUUGACGCUGAGGAGCGAAAGCCAGGGGAGCAAACGGG
Molecule: ribosomal RNA, 253 nt
Filed under: uncultured bacterium
Lineage: Bacteria
Description: partial 16S ribosomal RNA
Rfam family: Bacterial small subunit ribosomal RNA
Source: RNAcentral